This 496-nucleotide ribosomal RNA is filed under the name uncultured bacterium. RNAcentral's name for it is "partial 16S ribosomal RNA". It matches the Rfam family "Bacterial small subunit ribosomal RNA", at positions 28 to 506 of the family's 1533-position model. The record is from RNAcentral.
GAUGAACGCUGGCGGCGUGCCUAAUACAUGCAAGUCGAGCGAACAGACGAGGAUCUUGCUCCUCUGACGUUAGCGGCGGACGUGUGAGUAACACGUGGAUAACCUACCUAUAAGACUGGGAUAACUUCGGGAAACCGGUGCUAAUACCGGAUAAUAUAUUGAACCGCAUGGUUCAAUAGUUACAGACGGUUUUGCUGUCACUUAUAGAUGUAUCCGCGCCGCAUGAGCUAGUUGGUAAGGUAACGGCUUACCAAGGCAACGAUGCGUAGCCGACCUGAGAGGGGGAGCGGGCACGAGGGAGCGAAGAGACAGACCAGAACCGUACGGGAGGCAGCAGUAGGGAAGGUGGCAGAAGGGGCGAAAGCCUGACAGAGCAACGACGCGUGAGUGAGGAAGGUCGUCGGAUCGUAAAACGCUGUUAGGAGGGAAGAACAAAUGAGUAAGUAAGAAGGCAGGGGUGAAGGGUACCUAAGAAGAAGGCCAGGGCAAACUAGGG